RNAcentral lists this ribosomal RNA (681 nucleotides) under uncultured bacterium. RNAcentral's name for it is "bacterial SSU rRNA". It matches the Rfam family "Bacterial small subunit ribosomal RNA", at positions 54 to 749 of the family's 1533-position model. The record is from RNAcentral.
CAUGCAAGUCGACGAUGAUCCGGUGCUUGCACCGGGGAUUAGUGGCGAACGGGUGAGUAACACGUGAGUAACCUGCCCUCGACUCUGGGAUAAGCCUGGGAAACCGGGUCUAAUACCGGAUACGACCUUUCACCGCAUGGUGGUUGGUGGAAAGAUUUUUUGGUUUUGGAUGGACUCGCGGCCUAUCAGCUUGUUGGUGAGGUAAUGGCUCACCAAGGCGACGACGGGUAGCCGGCCUGAGAGGGUGACCGGCCACACUGGGACUGAGACACGGCCCAGACUCCUACGGGAGGCAGCAGUGGGGAAUAUUGCACAAUGGGCGAAAGCCUGAUGCAGCGACGCCGCGUGAGGGAUGACGGCCUUCGGGUUGUAAACCUCUUUCAGCAGGGAAGAAGCGAAAGUGACGGUACCUGCAGAAGAAGCGCCGGCUAACUACGUGCCAGCAGCCGCGGUAAUACGUAGGGCGCAAGCGUUGUCCGGAAUUAUUGGGCGUAAAGAGCUCGUAGGCGGUUUGUCGCGUCUGCUGUGAAAGCCCGGGGCUCAACCCCGGGUCUGCAGUGGGUACGGGCAGACUAGAGUGCAGUAGGGGAGACUGGAAUUCCUGGUGUAGCGGUGAAAUGCGCAGAUAUCAGGAGGAACACCGAUGGCGAAGGCAGGUCUCUGGGCUGUAACUGACGCUGA